This 468-nucleotide ribosomal RNA is filed under the name uncultured bacterium. RNAcentral describes it as "partial 16S ribosomal RNA". It matches the Rfam family "Bacterial small subunit ribosomal RNA", at positions 28 to 507 of the family's 1533-position model. The record is from RNAcentral.
GACGAACGCUGGCGGCGUGCUUAACACAUGCAAAUCGAACGGAAAGGCCCUGCUUUUGUGGGGUGCUCGAGUGGCGAACGGGUGAGUAACACGUGAGUAACCUGCCCUUGACUUUGGGAUAACUUCAGGAAACUGGGGCUAAUACCGGAUAGGAGCUCCUGCUGCAUGGUGGGGGUUGGAAAGUUUCGGCGGUUGGGGAUGGACUCGCGGCUUAUCAGCUUGUUGGUGGGGUAGUGGCUUACCAAGGCUUUGACGGGUAGCCGGCCUGAGAGGGUGACCGGCCACAUUGGGACUGAGAUACGGCCCAGACUCCUACGGGAGGCAGCAGUGGGGAAUAUUGCACAAUGAGCGGAAGCCUGAUGCAGCAACGCCGCGUGCGGGAUGACGGCCUUCGGGUUGUAAACCGCUUUCGCCUGUGACGAAGCGUGAGUGACGGUAAUGGGUAAAGAAGCACCGGCUAACUACGUG